Long non-coding RNA from Vidua chalybeata, 1946 nucleotides. RefSeq lists it as uncharacterized. Lineage: Eukaryota; Metazoa; Chordata; Aves; Passeriformes; Viduidae. The transcript is spliced from 2 exons. The record is from RefSeq and is a predicted model, not a curated record.
GUGACAUUUCUCUGCAGCCCUGGAGAGAUGUCCUGCAGGAAGGACAUUUGGAAGGAGAGCUGUGGCCAUACUUCCACAUGAGGAUGAGGGUGGAGAGGGGACCGCGUCUGCCGGGCCCAUUCAGCACUGCAAGAGUAGCACCGCGUGCUUAUCCUUGAAACCUGGGUGCGGAUACAGGGGCGAUUCUGCUCGGGCUGCAGGGGAAGACCAGGAUGUUUGCUGUGUGCAGCAUUUGAGGCAAAUUCCCACGGCUCUGUGACAUUUGGCUCUGCGGCUUCUGCUUGGCACUUCCAGGCCCCAAAUCUAUUCUCACUUUCUUCUCCAAAGUGCAGCGGCCACAUUGUUCUCAGUAUUUAGAGAGCGUGUGUGAGAAUGGAUGUGUGGGAGGCUGCUCCUCUCCUAAAAUAUGUGCAUUUAAAUUGUCCGAGGGAAUUACCGACAUUAGCCUGCUUUGUUUUUGGGUUUUAUUAGUGUCAUUCAGUAAACGUCCCCCUGCAACCUGGGUAGCGAAUGCCCAGCCGCGCUCACUGGAGAUACCACUUGGCACUCUGCCUGCCGCAACUGCUGGAGGACAGUAAAUCCAUCCCUCCUUGGCUCGCAGGCACUGGCGCUGCGUUAGCUUGUGCAGAGCUGGCUCCUGCGCCCGUCUGAGCCGGGCCACAGCUCCCCGGACUUAGGGACUUAUGUGCCAUGAAGCAUCUGCAAACUGUGCUGUCUCGGGAGCUCUCCCAGAGGUGUGGAUUCCCCUCACUCAGGCAAACACCAGCGGCUUAUGUGGACCAGGAAUUUGUCUUUUCCUUUCCCCUUACCUUUCUGCAUCAUCGGUUUUAUAUAAAACCACAUGCUAGACCAGAAAGCCUAGCACACAGCACUCACUGAGAAUUGACUGGGUAUUGUAGAUACACACUGCUUCUAUAAAUAUUUAUGGAGUUACAGUCAGCCUUGGUGCGGGCAAACAAAUGUAAAUAACGCCAUGCACUCCUAGUGUGCUCCGGAUGGUGCUGUGAGCAGGAAUAGCAGUUCCUUGUGAAAUCAAUUUAAUGAAUCACUUAUAGUAGGAGCAGCAUUAUUAUGCCUAAUGGUAGGAGCAUUGUGAUGAUGGCUAUGUUAUCCAGCAAGCCCCUGCCUAGGAGUAUGGGCAUGGGGAGGGGAGACGUUUCCCAGGAGAGGAAGAUGAAGAUGAGAUGUGGGUGCAGGUGAUAGAAAUGAGAAAGUGCUGGAUUUUCCUGGCUGCUACACAUCUGGAUGUUGUGAUGUUAACUCGGAUAGUGGGUGUUGGGGCAGGGAGAGGCACUCUGGGCAGAAGGGAGAGGGGUGAGCAGGGUGUGGAUGACCUAAAAUGGAUGGGCAUUUUUCAUCUCUGCCAGAAAAGGGAAGAGAUGAACAGUUCCAGAAUGAAAUCUCCAUUUCAGAUCAGAAUUUCUCAUGUCUUUGGGUGAGUGACUUCAUCUUUCUCUUUCACUGGCUGUGGACAUAUUCCUGAAGUCAUUCUCAGCCCAUAGAAUCAUAGAACCCUAGAAUAGUUGGAAAAGACCUCUGAGGUCAUUGAAUAGAACCAUUGUUAACCCAGCACUGCCAAGCCCACCACUAAACCUUGCCCCCGAGUGGUACAUCCACAUGUCCUUGAAAUCCCUGCAGAAGUGGUGUCUCCAGCACUUCCCUGGGCAGCCUGUUCCAGCGCCAGACAACCCAUCCACAGGUUAUUCCCAAGCAACCCCCCAGCAGUGGGAUGGUUCACAGGGCUGACACAUGCUACAGGACACACAGGUCACGUUAGUACUGAUCUGCCCUCAGAGCCAGCUCACAUUUCUGGAGGUCUUUCCCAGUUUAUAGUUUUCCCUUUGCAGGCAUGUUUCAGCCAGGUAAUUAAUGUUAGGCUACGUAGGGAAAGUAAAAGCAGAAGGGCCUAGCAUACAGACAAAUAAAAGUGCAUUUUUAAAGUUUCA